This 494-nucleotide ribosomal RNA is filed under the name uncultured bacterium. RNAcentral's name for it is "bacterial SSU rRNA". It matches the Rfam family "Bacterial small subunit ribosomal RNA", at positions 28 to 507 of the family's 1533-position model. The record is from RNAcentral.
GACGAACGCUGGCGGCGUGGAUUAGGCAUGCAAGUCGGACGGUAGAGCUUUAUCGUAAGAUAGAGUUUGAGAGUGGCGAACGGGUGAGUAACACGUAGGAAUCUACCCUUAAGACGGGGACAACCCAGGGAAACUUGGGCUAAUACCGGAUGAGAGUGCGAGAGAUUGCAUUUAAAAGGAUGGCGAAAGUUGUCGCUUAGGGAUGAGCCUGCGGUCUAUUAGUUAGUUGGUGAGGUAAGAGCUCACCAAGGCGAUGAUAGAUAGGCGGCCUUAACGGGUGGUCGCCCACACUGGGAUUGAGAUACGGCCCAGACUCCUACGGGAGGCAGCAGUCGAGAAUAGUCUACAAUGGCCGGAAGGCUGAUAGUGCGACGCCGCGUGAACGAGGGAGCCCUUCGGGGUGUAAAGUUCUUUUAUAUGUGAGCAGUGCUUCUUAUAUUAACAGUAUGGGGAGAGAGAUAUUAGCAUAUGAAUAAGCAACGGCUAACUCCGUG